AGCAGCUUUCACACACAGACGAUCACAUACAUUUCCUGCAGAGUCUUCAGUCUCUCUCAGCUCCUCCUGAAUCUACAGAAAACAUCUCUGUCAGUUUCCUCUUUUCUUUUGAUGGUGUGAGAGAAUCUGUCUGUCAGCUGAGACACAAACUGGAGGAUUUCUGCAAAGAGGAGAUGAAAAAGAUAUCUGUCACUCACAGUAACAUUGUUCCCAGGACCAGAGAGGACUUCCUACAAUGUAAGCCACUAACAAACACAAUGAC
Molecule: long non-coding RNA, 262 nt
Organism: Sinocyclocheilus anshuiensis
Lineage: Eukaryota; Metazoa; Chordata; Actinopteri; Cypriniformes; Cyprinidae
Exons: 3
Source: RefSeq, a predicted model, not a curated record